GACGAACGCUGGCGGCGUGCCUAAUACAUGCAAGUUGAGCGCUGAAGGUUGGUACUUGUCCCAACUGGAUGAGCAGCAAACGGGUGAGUAACGCGUGGGGAAUCUGCCUUUGAGCGGGGGACAACAUUUGGAAACGAAUGCUAAUACCGCAUAAAAACUUUAAACACAAGUUUUAAGUUUGAAAGAUGCAAUUGCAUCACUCAAAGAUGAUCCCGCGUUGUAUUAGCUAGUUGGUGAGGUAAAGGCUCACCAAGGCGAUGAUACAUAGCCGACCUGAGAGGGUGAUCGGCCACAUUGGGACUGAGACACGGCCCAAACUACUACGGGAGGCAGCAGUAGGGAAUCUUCGGCAAUGGACGAAAGUCUGACCGAGCAACGCCGCGUGAGUGAAGAAGGGUGUCGGAUCGUAAAACUCUGUUGGUAGAGAAGAACGUUGGUGAGAGUGGAAAGCUCAUCAAGUGACGGUAACUACCCAGAAAGGGACGGCUAACUACGUG
This 497-nucleotide ribosomal RNA is filed under the name uncultured bacterium. RNAcentral describes it as "partial 16S ribosomal RNA". It matches the Rfam family "Bacterial small subunit ribosomal RNA", at positions 28 to 507 of the family's 1533-position model. The record is from RNAcentral.